Molecule: ribosomal RNA, 492 nt
Filed under: uncultured bacterium
Lineage: Bacteria
Description: partial 16S ribosomal RNA
Rfam family: Bacterial small subunit ribosomal RNA
Source: RNAcentral
AGUGAACGCUGGCGGUAGGCCUAACACAUGCAAGUCGAACGGCAGCACAGUAAGAGCUUGCUCUUACGGGUUGCGAGUGGCGGACGUGUGAGGAAUACAUCGGAAUCUACUUUUUCGUGGGGGAUAACGUAGGGAAACUUACUCUAAUACCGCAUACCACCUACGGUUGAAAGCAGGGGAUCUUCGCACCUUGCGCGAUUGAAUGAGCCGAUGUGGGAGUAGCUAGUUGGCGGGUUAAAGGCCCACCCAGGCGAGGAUCCGUAGCUGGUCUGGGAGGCUGGUAGGCGACACGGGAACGGAGACAAGGUCAAGACGCCUAAGGGAGGCAGCAGUGGGGAAUAGUAGACAAUGGGGGGAAGCAUGACACAGCGAGACGGCGUGGGUGAAGAAGGCGUUCGGGUUGUAAAGACGUUUUGUUGGGAAAGAAAAGCAGCAGGUUAAUACCACGCGGGUGUGACGGUACUCAAAGAAGAAGCACCGGCUAACUUCGUG